CAAUUUUGCUUCUAGAGCUGCAAAUAAUGUUUAUUAGAAAUUUAGAACAAAUCAAUAAUUCGAUGGCUAACUCUGGAAACAAGAACAUCAACACCAAAUUGGUCAGUUUGAUCUUCUGGGUUUUCCUUUUUUCCUUUUGUUUUUGUUUAUCUUUGGUGAAUACGACUGUUUUCUUUUCGAGAAUGUUUGAUUCGGUUGUCGUGGUUCUUUUGUUUUCAAUUCCAUCGUCGUGGUUCUAGGGUGUGGAGUAAAGGUUAUAGAUUUAUUGGUUAUUAUUGUAUUUUUAGGGUUCUAACGAGUCAGCUAAAUUAGUAUGAAGAAACACUUUCUGCUAAUUGAAAUUCCCUAACUUUUUUGUAUGAAUGAUUGCGUUUAGAUACUUUUAUAAUGAUUUGCUUAUCUGAUGCAAUAUGAACUAUUUGGAUAUUAAAACACUCUCGUGGAAUGAUUAUGGUAUUUAAUAAGGAUGCUUGUGGAUACUUAAGGUCUUUUUGUUAGAAGUUAUAACCUAUAGCGGAAAACAAGUCUGUUUUGUUCCUUUUUGUUUUUGUUUAAGGGCUUCAGGUAUUACUUGGAGAUGCUGGGGCUGAAAAAUUAAGUCUUGUGCUGUGUUUUGUUAAAGAUCAGUUUGUUGAAUUCCAGUUUUUUUCUCUCAAACAGUGGCUGUAAACGAUGCCACUGUGAAGUUUGAGAUAUGGGAUACAGCUGGUCAGGCAUGAUACCGUAGCAUGGCACCAAUUAAUUAUUGUCUACAGGGGUGUAUCUACUGCAAUUAAUUAAUGUCUUUGAAAUUUACAUUACAAAUCAAGUACGAAACUCACAAUCCCAUGCUUUAGUCCUAAAUGAGUAAAUGGAUUUGCUGGUCAACGGUGGACUUCAAAGUUUUAAGGCUUGGAGAAGAAAUGCUUAGGUUUGCUUAACUCUUGUUUUCUAUUGUCACAAGCCUCAUUUAAGAGGGCGAAGAAAUGGGUCCAGGAACUGCAGGCACAAGAUAUCGAAUGGCUGAACUUGGGUUUCCGAGAAAAAUAUUUGGAGAAGAACAGAAUGUGGUUUAAUUUCAUAAUAACUCAAUUUUAUCUUAUGCUUCUAAUUCGAUUUCAA
Molecule: non-coding RNA, 1101 nt
Organism: Camelina sativa (false flax)
Lineage: Eukaryota; Viridiplantae; Streptophyta; Magnoliopsida; Brassicales; Brassicaceae
Source: RefSeq, a predicted model, not a curated record